AUUGAACGCUGGCGGAAUGCUUUACACAUGCAAGUCGAACGGUAGAGGGGGCAACCCCUUGAGAGUGGCGAACGGGUGAGUAAUAUAUCGGAACGUGCCCAGUCGUGGGGGAUAACGUAGCGAAAGUUACGCUAAUACCGCAUACGAUCUAAGGAUGAAAGCGGGGGAUCGCAAGACCUCGCGCGAUUGGAGCGGCCGAUAUCAGAUUAGGUAGUUGGUGGGGUAAAGGCUCACCAAGCCAACGAUCUGUAGCUGGUCUGAGAGGACGACCAGCCACACUGGAACUGAGACACGGUCCAGACUCCUACGGGAGGCAG
This 317-nucleotide ribosomal RNA is filed under the name uncultured Pseudomonadota bacterium. Its description in RNAcentral is "bacterial SSU rRNA". It matches the Rfam family "Bacterial small subunit ribosomal RNA", at positions 30 to 351 of the family's 1533-position model. The record is from RNAcentral. Lineage: Bacteria; Pseudomonadati; Pseudomonadota.